CUUAAUUCCAGCGGGAUAGAACACUCGUGUAUUUAAUGACAGGACUAUAUACAGCUGUGGAGCUCUCCAUUUCUUGGAAUGCCAGUCAGGACACGGCAAGAAGAUGGCCAUCUGUGAACCAGAAGGAGAGCCCUCAGCAGAACUCAACCAUGCUGGCACCCGGAUCCUGGACUUCCCAGCCUCCAGACUGUUUCUUGAACUUUCAUCUUGCAAAACUGACUCUAUACCCACUGGUCAAGUGAUCUUCAACAAGGGCACUAAGACUGUAAAAUGGGGAAAGAAUAUUUUCUUCAACAAAUGGUAUUGAGAAAACUGAAUAUCCAUGUACAAAAGAAUGAAGUUGGACUCUUACAUUAUACCAUAUUUUAAAAUGAAGUCAAAAUGGGAUUAAAGAUCUGAAACUUUAAAACUCCUAAAAUAAUAGAGAAGAAUCUUUACAAAGCUGAAUUUGGCAAUGAUUUAUUGGCUAUGACACCAAAAGCACAAGCAAUGAAAGCAAAAAUAGACAAAUGGAACUACAUCAAACUAAAAAGCUUCUGUGCAGCAAAGAAAGCAAUCAACAGAGUGAAAAGACAAUUUAUGGAAUGGGAGAAAAUAUUUGCAAAUCAUAUAUCUGGGAAGGAGUCAAUAUUAAGAAUAUAUGAAGAACACCUGUAACUUAACAACAAAAAUAACCCAACUUAAAAAAUUGGCAAAGGACUUAAAUACAUAUUUCUCCAUAGAAGAUAUACAAAUGCCCAAAAAGCAUAUGAAAAGGUGUUCAACAUCACUAAUUAUUUAGAAAACGCAUGUCAAAGCCACAGUGAGAUAUCACUUUAUACCUAUUAGCAUGGCUGCUAUUUAAAAAACAAAAACAAAAACAAAAACAAACAAAAAAACAAAAACAGAAAAUAACAAGGGCUGGCAAGAAUGUGGAGAAAUUGGAACCCCUGUGCACUGUUAGUGGUGAUGCAAAAUGGUUCAAUUCCCAUGAAAAUAUAUCUCUGGACUCUAUUCUGGUCCACUGGUCUGUAUGUCUGUCUUUACAUCAAUACCAUACUGUUUUGAUUGCAGUAGCUUUGUAAUAUGUUUUGUAAUCAGGAAGUGUGAGGCUUUUGGUUUUCUCAUUUCUCUUAGGAUUGUUUUGACUAUAUGGCUUCUUUUGAGAUUUCAUAUGAAUUUGAGGAUUUUUUAUUUUUAAAAAAUUCCAUUGAAAUUUCAUAGGGAUGGCAUCGAAUCUGUAGAUUACUUUACAUAGUUUGCAUAUUUUAAUAAUAUUAAGCCUUGCAAUCUGUGAAAAUAGGAUGUUUUUUCAUUGAUUUAUGUCUUCUUUAAUUUCUUUCAGCAAUGCCAUGUAGUUUUUAGUGUAUAAGUCUUUCACCUCCUUGCAUAAGUUU
RNAcentral lists this long non-coding RNA (1376 nucleotides) under Pan troglodytes (chimpanzee). RNAcentral's name for it is "long non-coding RNA NONPTRT013124". Lineage: Eukaryota; Metazoa; Chordata; Mammalia; Primates; Hominidae. The record is from RNAcentral.